CACAAGAACAGAAAGGAGGGCAAAAAGGAAGGCAAAGAAGAGAAGAUUUAUUUAGAAGCUCCAUCAUUCCGCAACCCACUGAAAGCUUCACAGUAUGCACAGUACCAGUAUUUCAGCAUCUAUAUUCUCUACACAUGACUUCUUGCCAUUAUCUUUACCACAACAUUAGCUCUGAUGCGUCACAAAAAUCUCUAGGGUAAAGAAAUGACUUAUGAAUGAAUUACCUGAAGCAAAUCAUCAAGAAAAUAAAUGUAAACGUCACAAUUUGACAUUCAAUUUCAUUAAUAUUGGGGG
Molecule: long non-coding RNA, 294 nt
Organism: Oxyura jamaicensis (ruddy duck)
Lineage: Eukaryota; Metazoa; Chordata; Aves; Anseriformes; Anatidae
Exons: 2
Source: RefSeq, a predicted model, not a curated record